ACGGGAGGCAGCAGUGGGGAAUAUUGCACAAUGGGAGAAAUCCUGAUGCAGCGACGCCGCGUGAGUGAAGAAGUAUUUCGGUAUGUAAAGCUCUAUCAGCAGGGAAGAAAAUGACGGUACCUGACUAAGAAGCCCCGGCUAACUACGUGCCAGCAGCCGCGGUAAUACGUAGGGGGCAAGCGUUAUCCGGAUUUACUGGGUGUAAAGGGAGCGUAGACGGCGAUGCAAGUCUGAUGUGAAAUGCGGGAGCUCAACCCCUGAACUGCAUUGGAAACUGUAUUGCUGGAGUGCCGGAGGGGUAAGCGGAAUUCCUAGUGUAGCGGUGAAAUGCGUAGAUAUUAGGAGGAACACCAGUGGCGAAGGCGGCUUACUGGACGGUAACUGACGUUGAGGCUCGAAAGCGUGGGGAGCAAACAGGAUUAGAUACCCUGGUA
RNAcentral lists this ribosomal RNA (434 nucleotides) under uncultured Lachnospiraceae bacterium. RNAcentral describes it as "bacterial SSU rRNA". It matches the Rfam family "Bacterial small subunit ribosomal RNA", at positions 341 to 792 of the family's 1533-position model. The record is from RNAcentral. Lineage: Bacteria; Bacillati; Bacillota; Clostridia; Lachnospirales; Lachnospiraceae.